ACGAACGCUGGCCGCGUGCUUAACACAUGCAAUUCGAACGGAAAGGCCCUGCUUUUGUGGGGUGCUCGAGUGGCGAACGGGUGAGUAACACGUGAGUAACCUGCCCUUGACUUUGGGAUAACUUCAGGAAACUGGGGCUAAUACCGGAUAGGAGCUCCUGCUGCAUGGUGGGGGUUGGAAAGUUUCGGCGGUUGGGGAUGGACUCGCGGCUUAUCAGCUUGUUGGUGGGGUAGUGGCUUACCAAGGCUUUGACGGGUAGCCGGCCUGAGAGGGUGACCGGCCACAUUGGGACUGAGAUACGGCCCAGACUCCUACGGGAGGCAGCAGUGGGGAAUAUUGCACAAUGGGCGGAAGCCUGAUGCAGCAACGCCGCGUGCGGGAUGACGGCCUUCGGGUUGUAAACCGCUUUCGCCUGUGACGAAGCGUGAGUGACGGUAAUGGGUAAAGAAGCACCGGCUAACUACGUG
RNAcentral lists this ribosomal RNA (467 nucleotides) under uncultured bacterium. RNAcentral's name for it is "partial 16S ribosomal RNA". It matches the Rfam family "Bacterial small subunit ribosomal RNA", at positions 29 to 507 of the family's 1533-position model. The record is from RNAcentral.